UGGGGAAUAUUGGACAAUGGGCGAAAGCCUGAUCCAGCAAUGCCGCGUGUGUGAAGAAGGCCUGCGGGUUGUAAAGCACUUUCGUGGGGGAGGAAGGCAUUAGCUUUAAUAGAGCUGAUGAUUGACGUUACCCCAAGAAGAAGCACCGGCUAACUCUGUGCCAGCAGCCGCGGUAAUACAGAGGGUGCAAGCGUUAAUCGGAAUUACUGGGCGUAAAGGGUGUGUAGGUGGCAAAGUAAGUUAGGUGUGAAAUCCUCGGGCUUAACCUGAGAAUUGCGCUUAAUACUGCCUUGCUAGAGUACUAUAGAGGGUAGUGGAAUUUCCAGUGUAGCGGUGAAAUGCGUAGAUAUUGGAAGGAACACCAGUGGCGAAGGCGACUGCCUGGAUAGAUACUGACACUGAGACACGAAAGCGUGGGUAGCAAACA
This 427-nucleotide ribosomal RNA is filed under the name uncultured prokaryote. Its description in RNAcentral is "bacterial SSU rRNA". It matches the Rfam family "Bacterial small subunit ribosomal RNA", at positions 355 to 774 of the family's 1533-position model. The record is from RNAcentral.